Molecule: ribosomal RNA, 465 nt
Filed under: Vreelandella stevensii
Lineage: Bacteria; Pseudomonadati; Pseudomonadota; Gammaproteobacteria; Oceanospirillales; Halomonadaceae
Description: partial 16S ribosomal RNA
Rfam family: Bacterial small subunit ribosomal RNA
Source: RNAcentral
CCUACGGGUGGCUGCAGUGGGGAAUAUUGGACAAUGGGCGAAAGCCUGAUCCAGCCAUGCCGCGUGUGUGAAGAAGGCCUUCGGGUUGUAAAGCACUUUCAGUGGGGAAGAAAGCCUUGGGGCUAAUACCCUCGAGGAAGGACAUCACCCACAGAAGAAGCACCGGCUAACUCCGUGCCAGCAGCCGCGGUAAUACGGAGGGUGCGAGCGUUAAUCGGAAUUACUGGGCGUAAAGCGCGCGUAGGCGGUCUGAUAAGCCGGUUGUGAAAGCCCCGGGCUCAACCUGGGAACGGCAUCCGGAACUGUCAGGCUAGAGUGCAGGAGAGGAAGGUAGAAUUCCCGGUGUAGCGGUGAAAUGCGUAGAGAGCGGGAGGAAUACCAGUGGCGAAGGCGGCCUUCUGGACUGACACUGACGCUGAGGUGCGAAAGCGUGGGUAGCAAACAGGAUUAGAUACCCUAGUAGUC